AAAAAGAAAGAAAAAGAAAUAUUUUAACACAAUGGUAACAAUUUUCUAAAAACGAAUUUUCAUAUCUAUCUAAUAUCUUUACGAUAUAUCCUAUAAGCUGGAAAUAUCUUUUAAAAAAUUAUUGUGUAAAGUUCAACGAAUAUUCUCGAACAUAUGAAAUUCGUCGCGAGUCAGGGAAGCAGAAACAUGAAAUUAUUCAAGAGCCGCCUAUCAGAAUCUCCAUCGUAACCGAGUUCCUAUAUACUCUGCAUCGUGGUGAACUAUCAAAGGACAGCUUCAACUCAAGCACCGGUUCUUGUUGAAUAUAAAUGGUGUCCAUUAAGAAUCGGUUCUCCGAUCGGGGCGAAGUAUUUGCAACAACUUGUUGCCUCGCUGUUUCGAUAUUGGAAAUAUGUUUCUGAGGCUAAAAAUAUUAUAAUACAAACGCGAGAACGCUUGUUUAUUCAAUAUGGAUAUUCAAUGGACAUGGAAUUCAAUGUGGAGAUAGGUCAGAGUCAAAAUGAAUGAUCGCGUUUCGCGAUUGUGGAAUUUGUGUAUAUGAAUCUAAAUUUU
Apis dorsata (giant honeybee) is the source of this 552-nucleotide long non-coding RNA. RefSeq lists it as uncharacterized. NCBI's taxonomy places the organism in Eukaryota, Metazoa, Arthropoda, Insecta, Hymenoptera, Apidae. The record is from RefSeq and is a predicted model, not a curated record. The transcript has 4 exons.